RNAcentral lists this ribosomal RNA (253 nucleotides) under uncultured bacterium. Its description in RNAcentral is "partial 16S ribosomal RNA". It matches the Rfam family "Bacterial small subunit ribosomal RNA", at positions 524 to 776 of the family's 1533-position model. The record is from RNAcentral.
UACGAAGGGGGCUAGCGUUGCUCGGAAUCACUGGGCGUAAAGGGUGCGUAGGCGGGUCUUUAAGUCAGGGGUGAAAUCCUGGAGCUCAACUCCAGAACUGUCUUUGAUACUGAGGAUCUUGAGUUCGGGAGAGGUGAGUGGAACUGCGAGUGUAGAGGUGAAAUUCGUAGAUAUUCGCAAGAACACCAGUGGCGAAGGCGGCUCACUGGCCCGAUACUGACGCUGAGGCACGAAAGCGUGGGGAGCAAACAGG